Non-coding RNA from Cucurbita pepo subsp. pepo (vegetable marrow), 192 nucleotides. NCBI's taxonomy places the organism in Eukaryota, Viridiplantae, Streptophyta, Magnoliopsida, Cucurbitales, Cucurbitaceae. The record is from RefSeq and is a predicted model, not a curated record.
UGGUUUAACAGGAGAAGUCUUUCGAUGAUGGGAAGGCAGUCGUCGAAGCUCUGAAAAGCAAAGGUAUUUCGGCGAUCGGAGCGGUCGGCAUUUGUUGGGGUGCCAAGGUUGUGGUUGCACUUGCGAAGGUCGAGUUGAUUCAAGCUGCUGUGUUGCUUCAUCCGUCUUUGGUUACUGUCGAUGACAUCAAAG